Molecule: ribosomal RNA, 253 nt
Filed under: uncultured bacterium
Lineage: Bacteria
Description: partial 16S ribosomal RNA
Rfam family: Bacterial small subunit ribosomal RNA
Source: RNAcentral
GUUGCCUACGGGACGCAGCAGUGAGGAAUAUUGGUCAAUGGGAGAGAUCCUGAACCAGCCAAGCCGCGUGAGGGAAGACGGCCCUAUGGGUUGUAAACCUCUUUUGUCGGAGAACAAAACCCGGGACGAGUCCCGGACUGCGUGUAUCCGAAGAAAAAGCAUCGGCUAACUCCGUGCCAGCAGCCGCGGUAAUACGGAGGAUGCGAGCGUUAUCCGGAUUUAUUGGGUUUAAAGGGUGCGUUGGCGGUCCGUU